This 1110-nucleotide long non-coding RNA is filed under the name Olea europaea subsp. europaea. Lineage: Eukaryota; Viridiplantae; Streptophyta; Magnoliopsida; Lamiales; Oleaceae. The record is from RNAcentral.
CAUCACCAAAGGGAAUAUGGUUUUAGUUCACAUUCUUUUCUUUAUCUUUUAUGUUUCAAAUAACAAAAAUUUUACGGUUUAAAACAAUAUCUGAGGCUUAUUGCCUCGAAUCCUGCUUCAUGUGAGGCUACCAUAGAACACCUCAAAACCUGCAACUUAAAUGCCAUUUGUGAGGCUUACACAUCAAGCCAACUAAGGUGUUUGCCCGUUUGCCUUGAAGUUUUCAAACAUUUAAUUUUUAGCUCUAGUUUUUUAAGUUUUUUCUUAAACCUAAAAUGUUAAGCGGGUCUUUCAUUUUCAUUUUUCUACCUACACGGAAGGAAAAUGGGAAUGAGAAUACGCCAUUGCAAUUGUAGGGUGAUCACAAAGAACGAAAAUAAACUUAUAACAAGGAUGAUUACAAUGUUAAUGGUUCCACAAAAGAACAUAUUAGUAGUGAUUAUAUAAGAAUUUUUUGAGUUGCCUCCACUUUUAUUAAUAAGUCAUAAUUUUGUUACAUGAUUACUAAUUUGAGAACUUAUUAUUUUCUACUUUCUUGAUCGAUUUAAUUUUUGUUUGUAGUUAGACUUUAACUUUGUAAAAUAGUUUUCUUAUGAAUUGUUUAGUGUUGCGGAAUGGAUCUUCAAUAUGUAGAUUCCGGGCUCAGAUUAAACUUACCAAUCAAUAUAUCAACCAACCAUCCAAAACUUCAAACCCACAACUCAAUUCACUUAUGAUUGCAUUCUUCUUUUCUCACCCACAAAGGGACAACAGUAUGGUGGUGAUUGCAAGCCACAAGGGCAAAGAAAAGACAAAAAGGCAAGAACUUGAAUAAGGUCACAAAGGAGAACCCGUUUUCUCUCUUCUCAAACAAGGGCAAACACACACAGUUUCUACGCAAAAGAGUUGGUAUAUAUAGCUUUAGGUAAAAUUUCAAUUGGGCUACAAUACAAAAGGUUGGGCCAAGACAUAGGGAAGCCCUCGUAUAAGUGAAUUUGGGCUAAGGCAACAUUAAAACCAAUUAAGUUGCUACUAGUGGCCCACGUUGUUUUUGGGUCAAACAUAUGAAUUGAUUGGUUGAUAAAUUUCACUCAUCGGCCACAAUCUAUGAAAUACAAUCCGACAUUGUUU